UUAAUAAAAUUGCACUGAGUGAUUUGAAAGGAACGAUACGAAGAAGAGUCGCAUGGCGCAUGCGCAAAGAUGACACGCAGAUUGAUGAAGGUUUCCAUAUUCUU
Octopus sinensis (East Asian common octopus) is the source of this 104-nucleotide small nuclear RNA. Lineage: Eukaryota; Metazoa; Mollusca; Cephalopoda; Octopoda; Octopodidae. The record is from RefSeq and is a predicted model, not a curated record.